RNAcentral lists this ribosomal RNA (396 nucleotides) under uncultured bacterium. Its description in RNAcentral is "partial 16S ribosomal RNA". It matches the Rfam family "Bacterial small subunit ribosomal RNA", at positions 338 to 732 of the family's 1533-position model. The record is from RNAcentral.
CCUACGGGAGGCUGCAGUGAGGAACAUUGGUCAAUGGCCGGAAGGCUGAACCAGCCAAGCCGCGUGAAGGACGAAGGUGCCAAGCAUUGUAAACUUCUUUUGUCAAGGGACAAAAUCAUGCUCGAGAGCCUGACCGAGGGUACUUGAAGAAAAAGCAUCGGCUAACUCCGUGCCAGCAGCCGCGGUAAUACGGAGGAUGCGAGCGUUAUCCGGAUUUAUUGGGUUUAAAGGGUGCGUAGGCGGACUGUUAAGUCAGCGGUAAAAGCCCGGGGCUAAACCCCGGCUAGCAGUUGAAACUGGCGGUCUUGAGAUGUCGAGAGGUAGGCGGAAUGCGCGGUGUAGCGGUGAAAUGCUUAGAUAUUGCGCAGAACUCCGAUUGCGAAGGCAGCACACUGG